Molecule: ribosomal RNA, 292 nt
Filed under: uncultured prokaryote
Description: partial 16S ribosomal RNA
Rfam family: Bacterial small subunit ribosomal RNA
Source: RNAcentral
GUGUCAGCAGCCGCGGUAAUACGUAGGGUGCAAGCGUUAAUCGGAAUUACUGGGCGUAAAGCGUGCGCAGGCGGUUUUGUAAGUCUGACGUGAAAUCCCCGGGCUCAACCUGGGAAUUGCGUUGGAGACUGCAAGGCUGGAGUCUGGCAGAGGGGGGUAGAAUUCCACGUGUAGCAGUGAAAUGCGUAGAGAUGUGGAGGAACACCGAUGGCGAAGGCAGCCCCCUGGGUCAAGACUGACGCUCAUGCACGAAAGCGUGGGGAGCAAACAGGAUUAGAUACCCCCGUAGUCC